UCCCUGGUGACUCAUAUGGUAAAGAAUCUGCUUGUAAUGCAGGAGGCCCAGGUUUGAUCCCUGGGUUGGGAA
Molecule: transfer RNA, 72 nt
Filed under: Bos taurus (domestic cattle)
Lineage: Eukaryota; Metazoa; Chordata; Mammalia; Artiodactyla; Bovidae
Also listed under: 1 other name
Rfam family: tRNA
About the family: Transfer RNA (tRNA) molecules are approximately 80 nucleotides in length.
Source: Rfam by way of RNAcentral